Molecule: transfer RNA, 103 nt
Rfam family: tRNA
About the family: Transfer RNA (tRNA) molecules are approximately 80 nucleotides in length. Their secondary structure includes four short double-helical elements and three loops (D, anti-codon, and T loops). Further hydrogen bonds mediate the characteristic L-shaped molecular structure. tRNAs have two regions of fundamental functional importance: the anti-codon, which is responsible for specific mRNA codon recognition, and the 3' end, to which the tRNAs corresponding amino acid is attached (by aminoacyl-tRNA synthetases). tRNAs cope with the degeneracy of the genetic code in two manners: having more than one tRNA (with a specific anti-codon) for a particular amino acid; and 'wobble' base-pairing, i.e. permitting non-standard base-pairing at the 3rd anti-codon position.
Source: Rfam
GGUUUCUUGGCGCAGUUGGUUAGCGCGUCUCCUUAACAAUUCCGGUCUAUCGGAUCGUUAGGGCUUACGGAGGAGGUCGCCGGUUCGAACCCGGCAGAAAUCA